GACGAACGCUGGCGGCGUGCUUAACACAUGCAAGUCGAACGGAAAGGCCUGCUUUCCCUUGUGGAUUGCGGGUACUCGAGUGGCGAACGGGUGAGUAACACGUGAGUGAUCUGCCCCCAACUUGGGUAUAAGCCUGGGAAACUGGGUCUAAUUCCCGAUAGGACUGCAGGGUGGUGCCUGUGGUGGAAAACGAUUUUCUAGUGGUUGGGGAUGAGCUCGCGGCCUAUCAGCUUGUUGGUGGGGUAAUGGCCUACCAAGGCGGCGACGGGUAGCCGGCCUGAGAGGGUGGACGGCCACAUUGGGACUGAGAUACGGCCCAGACUCCUACGGGAGGCAGCAGUGGGGAAUAUUGCACAAUGGGCGGAAGCCUGAUGCAGCGACGCCGCGUGGGGGAUGACGGCCUUAGGGUGGUAAACUCCUUUCGACCGCGAGGAAGCCACCUGGUUGGAAGGGUGGUGACGGUAGUGGUAGAAGAAGCACCGGCUAACUACGUG
Molecule: ribosomal RNA, 494 nt
Filed under: uncultured bacterium
Lineage: Bacteria
Description: partial 16S ribosomal RNA
Rfam family: Bacterial small subunit ribosomal RNA
Source: RNAcentral